Molecule: long non-coding RNA, 950 nt
Organism: Atta colombica
Lineage: Eukaryota; Metazoa; Arthropoda; Insecta; Hymenoptera; Formicidae
Exons: 6
Source: RefSeq, a predicted model, not a curated record
GAAUUAUAUGCAUAUGUAUGCUGACUAAAAUAGAGAGAAUAUUCAUAUGCGGUUUAUGUGAAGAAAUCGUGAGCAGAUUGGAAGUAAUAGAGAGCCAUUCUUGUGUAAUAGGAUAUGCAAAAGCAAUUUUUAACGAAAAUUUCUCUAUUUUUAUGCUCAAUGCAAAUAUAUAUAUCAUAUUGUGGAGACAUUGUAUGUCGAAGCAAAGUAAAUGGGGAAAAUAUUAAUAUCGUUGAGAACCCACAGUUUCCUGUCGAAAAGUCUACAAGAUGACAUCAGAAAGCAAUAGAUGAAAUUCUGAUUGCAGAGGUAUAUUUAAGGGAAUCUUUGUGGAAUCAGAAUGUUGUGAUCGCGAGAUAGAAGAACAAUGGAUAAGCUGUAGCAAGAAGCAAAGCAACAAAAGAAGUAUACUCUAGUGAAGAAUGCAAAAGAAAAUGGAAAAAUCUCCAUGAUCAUUUUUUUAUGCGGAUUAUUUCAGCGGAGAAGCUGUGAAAUGGGGGCAGCAAAUCAGUCGAAGAAAAAUAAAUGGCAUUUCUAUGAGUCAUUAAAUUUUUUGCAUGACACAUUAUUAAGAAGAGAGUGAAUACAAGAAAAAAAUUUUUUUAAUUUUCAGAAAAUAUGUUAAAAAACUGUAUCGCCAGUCUGUAAUAACAACGUAAAUAUCAAAGACGAAGAAGAAAAAGAGGAAGAAUCUGUACAAGAUGUGAAGAUGAUAUCCCUAAAAUAGCAAAAAGCAAAGGAUAAACAGAAACUCAAACCAAGAUAGUAUUAUCCUACAAAUAAGGCAUUACACGAGCCGCCGCCGACAAUUUCUUUGCUAUCAAUAAUCGGUAACGAAUGAAGAAGAGCAUUUCGGAAUGAUGAUUUCCUUCAACUUCGUCAAUUUCCAAGAUUUCGCAGGAGACAAUUAAUGUUGAAAAUACAUAAAAUAUUAUAUAAAGAAUUAAAUA